GAGUGUCAAGUUCUUGGCUCGAGCUUUGUAAUGAGCUGAACAAUCUCACAUCUGGUCUCACCAUUGGCACUCAAUCCAUUAUUGGUCCCAUAAAAAGAAUUGACUAAACCCAACUUUCACGUUUUCAAUGGUGAAGGAGUAGAAGAAGAUUAAAAUGUGAAAGAAGUGAAAAUCGAUAUGGCUCUUCAUCUUUUUAGUAGCACAACUGAGGAUGAAGAUCCAAUCUCAGGAAACCCAGUUGCUCUAAAAACACAUAUAUCUUCUCU
This 266-nucleotide unclassified non-coding RNA is filed under the name Hevea brasiliensis (rubber tree). Lineage: Eukaryota; Viridiplantae; Streptophyta; Magnoliopsida; Malpighiales; Euphorbiaceae. The record is from RNAcentral.